GUGCCCGUAGCUCAGUCUGGAUAGAGCACCGAUUUCCGGGGUCGGGAGUCGCAGGUUCGAAUCCUGCCGGGCACA
This 75-nucleotide transfer RNA is filed under the name Persephonella sp. RNAcentral's name for it is "tRNA-Arg". It matches the Rfam family "tRNA". From Rfam's summary of the family: Transfer RNA (tRNA) molecules are approximately 80 nucleotides in length. Their secondary structure includes four short double-helical elements and three loops (D, anti-codon, and T loops). Lineage: Bacteria; Pseudomonadati; Aquificota; Aquificia; Aquificales; Hydrogenothermaceae. The record is from RNAcentral. RNAcentral also lists the same sequence under 1 other name.